RNAcentral lists this transfer-messenger RNA (60 nucleotides) under Methylococcaceae bacterium HT5. Its description in RNAcentral is "partial transfer-messenger RNA". It matches the Rfam family "transfer-messenger RNA", at positions 313 to 374 of the family's 374-position model. From Rfam's summary of the family: Bacterial tmRNA, also known as 10Sa RNA or SsrA, is named for its dual tRNA and mRNA-like properties. Its role is to liberate the mRNA from a stalled ribosome. Lineage: Bacteria; Pseudomonadati; Pseudomonadota; Gammaproteobacteria; Methylococcales; Methylococcaceae. The record is from RNAcentral.
CAUGUAGAUCCAAAGGCGGAGUGCUUGCGGACGGGGGUUCAAUUCCCCCCGUCUCCACCA